CAGCAGCCGCGGGAAUACGUAGGGUGCGAGCGUUAAUCGGAAUUACUGGGCGUAAAGCGUGCGCAGGCGGUUCGUUAAGACAGAUGUGAAAUCCCCGGGCUUAACCUGGGAACUGCAUUUGUGACUGGCGAGCUAGAGUAUGGCAGAGGGGGGUAGAAUUCCACGUGUAGCAGUGAAAUGCGUAGAGAUGUGGAGGAAUACCGAUGGCGAAGGCAGCCAUCUGGGACAACACUGACGCUGAGGCACGAAAGCGUGGGGAGCAAACAGGAUUAGAUACCCCGGUAGUCCCUGUCUCUUAUAC
RNAcentral lists this ribosomal RNA (301 nucleotides) under uncultured bacterium. RNAcentral's name for it is "partial 16S ribosomal RNA". It matches the Rfam family "Bacterial small subunit ribosomal RNA", at positions 509 to 807 of the family's 1533-position model. The record is from RNAcentral.